UUUCAAAGGCAGGAUAGAUGAGUACCAGGAAACUGGUAUGAUAGGUGUCCUUCACAAAAGUUUGUUCAUGGUUUACCUCUUUCCACGACUUCCAUGGCCAGAUCUUGGACCAGGGUACCGAGAAAACUGCAGCCCUAAGUAGUUAGAUUCAUGACCAUGUUCAUCCAUCUUAUAACCUUGCAAGGCGCUCAUUGCAGUUGCUGCACAGGCUGGAUUUUCAAAAUCAACAAAACAAAGGAUAAUAGGAUCUCCACCACGAUGCUUGGAUUCUUUACUCACAAGUCUUACUUCCUUAUAUCCCACAAAAGGGCGAAAGAUAUGAGCUACUUCCCUCCUUGUGCUGUCAGAAGGGAGUCCCUCAACAUAUAGAGUGCUGGAAGCAUCUGGAGGUAGAGGUAUAGUUUCACGAACAGGCCUAGCUGUUGUAUCCACUGAAGGCUGACUACGGAAAACAAUGUCCUGACCAUUUGGUGCCAGAUCUGGACCUCUAGCACGAGGAUGGCCUGUUAUACCAGAAUCAAGUAUUGGAAGACCAGUCAUCGCACUACUGGCAGCCCUUCCCAACCCAGCACUUAAUCCACUAGCUUCUCCGGAAGAAAAAGGAGUAAUUUGCGCAUUUUGCAGAUAUCGGUCGUACGCUGAUCCAAUUGUUUUUGUGUCCUUCACAGCCUGAUACCUAUUUUGAUCCCCAUCUUUUGGAUAAUAGUUAUGAAUCUCAUGGCUCAUAGGCAACACUGAAGAUGGGAGAUCGUAGUCGGAACGAGGUCGCUUUAAACUGCCACCAGAGAGGAGAAGACGCUGCUGCUGCUGCUGCCGAUUCCAAUAACCGUCCGUCAUGUCUCGGCCUGACGGUUGAUUUCGGUGAGAAACAGAGAAAGUUCUCGAUUUCAGCUACAGAAUGGAGAUUUGUCCAAAGAUUAAACAAAAACAAAACCCUAAUUUCGAUACCCGUUGAUUGGGUC
RNAcentral lists this unclassified non-coding RNA (962 nucleotides) under Hevea brasiliensis (rubber tree). The record is from RNAcentral. Lineage: Eukaryota; Viridiplantae; Streptophyta; Magnoliopsida; Malpighiales; Euphorbiaceae.